CAGCAGCCGCGGGAAUACGGAGGGAGCUAGCGUUGUUCGGAAUUACUGGGCGUAAAGCGCGCGUAGGCGGUUACUCAAGUCAGAGGUGAAAGCCCGGGGCUCAACCCCGGAACUGCCUUUGAAACUAGGUGACUAGAAUCUUGGAGAGGUCAGUGGAAUUCCGAGUGUAGAGGUGAAAUUCGUAGAUAUUCGGAAGAACACCAGUGGCGAAGGCGACUGACUGGACAAGUAUUGACGCUGAGGUGCGAAAGCGUGGGGAGCAAACAGGAUUAGAUACCUCGGUAGUCCCUGUCUCUUAUAA
This 301-nucleotide ribosomal RNA is filed under the name uncultured bacterium. RNAcentral describes it as "partial 16S ribosomal RNA". It matches the Rfam family "Bacterial small subunit ribosomal RNA", at positions 509 to 809 of the family's 1533-position model. The record is from RNAcentral.